CUGGUGGCGAGUGGCGAACGGGUGAGUAAUGUAUCGGAACGUAUCCAGUAAUGGGGGAUAACUAAUCGAAAGGUUGGCUAAUACCGCAUACGCCCUACGGGGGAAAGCAGGGGAUCUUCGGACCUUGCGUUAAUGGAGCGGCCGAUAUCUGAUUAGCUAGUUGGUGAGGUAAGAGCUCACCAAGGCGACGAUCAGUAGCUGGUCUGAGAGGACGACCAGCCACACUGGAACUGAGACACGGUCCAGACUCCUACGGGAGGCAGCAGUGGGGAAUUUUGGACAAUGGGCGCAAGCCUGAUCCAGCCAUUCCGCGUGAGUGAAGAAGGCCUUCGGGUUGUAAAGCUCUUUCGCAAGGGAAGAAACGAUGCAGACGAAUAAUCUGUGUUAAUGACGGUACCUUGAUAAGAAGCACCGGCUAACUACGUGCCAGCAGCCGCGGUAAUACGUAGGGUGCAAGCGUUAAUCGGAAUUACUGGGCGUAAAGCGUGCGCAGGCGGUUUUGUAAGUCAGAUGUGAAAUCCCCGAGCUCAACUUGGGAACUGCGUUUGAAACUACAAGACUAGAAUAUGUCAGAGGGGGGUAGAAUUCCACGUGUAGCAGUGAAAUGCGUAGAGAUGUGGAGGAAUACC
Molecule: ribosomal RNA, 629 nt
Filed under: uncultured Methylotenera sp.
Lineage: Bacteria; Pseudomonadati; Pseudomonadota; Betaproteobacteria; Nitrosomonadales; Methylophilaceae
Description: bacterial SSU rRNA
Rfam family: Bacterial small subunit ribosomal RNA
Source: RNAcentral